UACGUAGGGGGCAAGCGUUGUCCGGAAUCAUUAGGCGUAAAGCGCGUGUAGGCGGCUAGGUAAGUCUGCUCUGAAAGCCCGGGGCUCAACCCCGGGAGGCGGGUGGAUACUGUCUAGCUCGAGUCCGGAAGAGGAGUGUGGAAUUCCUGGUGUAGCGGUGAAAUGCGCAGAUAUCAGGAGGAACACCAAUGGCGAAGGCAGCACUCUGGGACGUGACUGACGCUGAGACGCGAAAGCGUGGGGAGCAAACAGG
RNAcentral lists this ribosomal RNA (253 nucleotides) under uncultured bacterium. RNAcentral describes it as "partial 16S ribosomal RNA". It matches the Rfam family "Bacterial small subunit ribosomal RNA", at positions 524 to 776 of the family's 1533-position model. The record is from RNAcentral.